Molecule: ribosomal RNA, 116 nt
Filed under: Oscillospiraceae bacterium
Lineage: Bacteria; Bacillati; Bacillota; Clostridia; Eubacteriales; Oscillospiraceae
Source: RNAcentral
GUCGGUGUCUUAGCAGUGAGGGUCCACCCGUUCCCAUCCCGAACACGGUCGUUAAGCUCACUUGCGCUGACAAUACUUGGCGGGUGACUGCCUGGGAAGAUAAGUCAUUGCCGACA